Molecule: long non-coding RNA, 347 nt
Organism: Dreissena polymorpha
Lineage: Eukaryota; Metazoa; Mollusca; Bivalvia; Myida; Dreissenidae
Exons: 3
Source: RefSeq, a predicted model, not a curated record
CUAUAUAGAACUGAAAAGAAAGAAAACUUAAGUUAUUUCAAAUACAAUCUUGGUUUUGUUGAAUGCUACAUGGAUACUCAGAUAAAAUGCAGGCAACGUUUGUCUACCUUUGUGUCGUGUUGGGACUGCUAAACAGCGCGACCUGCCGGCGACGUGAUUACCUCCAAAACCUCGAAACCCCAUGCCCAUGGAAUGUGAGGACUCCGUCUGCUACAUCGGGCUCGGCUGUUCUGGAAGUUGCCAGUCUGUUUCGUGUAAACUUUACGGGUAAUCAGGAUAUAAAGUAAAUUAAAUGGAAAAUGUUGUUAAUUUUAAGUGUAAUGUUUUCAAACAUUAUUGUAUGUAAA